Chenopodium quinoa (quinoa) is the source of this 1224-nucleotide long non-coding RNA. RefSeq lists it as uncharacterized. Lineage: Eukaryota; Viridiplantae; Streptophyta; Magnoliopsida; Caryophyllales; Amaranthaceae. The transcript has 4 exons. The record is from RefSeq and is a predicted model, not a curated record.
UGCGCGUUUAAUAAGCGGCCCAGAUUCACUCAAGCAUAUUCUCCAACAAUCAAGUGCAGUAUCUCGUGUUUCUCUCUCAGGGAGCAUUUUCUCUGUCCUCCAUUACAACAAGUGGUCUGAAUCCUCCAUUAAAGAGCCCUUCAAGCUUUAUCUAUUCCAUUGAUGCAUCUUUCGAGCUUUCUCUAAUAUAAUGAAGCAGCUUUUGAGGCUUAAGUUCCGCGAUUAAUUUUUAAAUUUGGGGAUUUGCUGAAUUUUGCGACGCUCUUCUCACCCAGUUUGCAAACUUGACCUCAAAUCAGGCAAUGCUGAGGGUAGACGGGUUUGGGGUCCCCUUCAAAUGGAAGAGAGAAGAGGAGGAGCUGAUAAGGAACUUGACGGCUGCUAAUUAUGCCGCUAACGAGCGAAUGACUAAGCUUGAGCAGGGUCUAAAGACAUCCCAGUAAGAUCUCAAGGCCUUGGAGGUGGAGGGUGCUGAUAAGGAGAAUGCCGACCUGAGAGCAGACGUCAACCGCCUGGGGGUCGAGCUUGUCCAACAAAGGAACCAACACAAGGUUAAGGUUUCCCAAGAGCAAAAGCGGUUGGUUGUUGAAAAUGAGCAUUACAUGGGGUCUUCUCUACCCUAACAUUGAGUUUGAUGUGCUCAAAAUGCGAUAUGAUUACGCCACUAAGGUGUAUGACGCAUAUCAGCUCAAUGAGUAGGCCCCACCUCCCUUUCAAGGCAUGGACCCUUGAACAAGGCUAUGAGGUCUCUGAUGAUGAGGAAGAGCCGACUGCCUACCAGGAUAAUCAAGUCCAAGUUAAUGAAGCUCAAACUGAUCAACUCCAGGAUGGUUAGGUCUCGGAUGCACAAAACAAAACAAGCCUCCUAGCAGUUCAGAUCUAGCUGGAGCCUGUCCAAUAGCCGUAAUUUAGCUCUUUUUCUUCUGCGCCAGUAUGCCAGCGUUAUCCUUUCCAGCUUGUGAUCCCAGUACUUCCUUGUAUCUUUUACCGACUAUAGUCGCUAAAAGUGCAGGUUCUUGGUUCACUAAACCCAUUUGUGAUCUUAACCAUUUCAGUUAGAACUUAUCAAUAGAUACCCCAUCUAAGAAUAUCUCCCCACCAAGUGGAUUAUAAAACCUGUGGAUCAAAGCUACUGUUGUGGAUUUUCCUGAACCACCACUCCCAACUAACGAUACUAUCUUCCCUGCAGGAACUAGUAGUGAGAAAUCCCAAAAUAUUAUUAAA